GGGGCACGUGAUGUUGCGUUUGUCGCCGUUGCCGUGGCAAUUUUCAUGUUACAAAGUCGCCAUCCUCAUCGCUAUCGCCAUUCCCAUUCUCAGUCCCAGUUCCAGCCAGACCCAUUCUCAGUCCCACUUCCCACUUCCAUGCUCAUCGUCAUCGUUGUCUGUCGCCUGUCGUCUGUUUUGUGUAAAGAGUUUUACUCUGCUGCUGGUGCACAAGGAAAAAUAACAAUUUUACAAAUUGAAAAUCUAAAAUUAAGUUUUAUAACUAGCCUACAAAAUAAUAUUUACUGUUUAGCUGUAUUAAAUAUCUUUUAAAUCAAAACUAGAAUAAGAAAUACGAAAGUUUAUUUUGAUUUUACAGACUUAAAAGUAAAAACUCUAUUUUAAAUAAAAUUUCCUUAAGUUACAUUGCCUUAAUCAAUCAAUAAUUUUUCCCUCUGCAAAACUUCUUUUUUUCCAGGUUGGCAAUUUUCAGUGCAGCCUUUUUGGGAGCUGGUUGCUGGGUGCUUUCGGUGGUCUGGAUUUUCCUGCGAUUUUAUAAUACUUAAUUUACCUCAUUAAGUGAUGUUUCUUCAAGAUUCCGCCAUCAAGUGCAUGUCCUGUCCAGCAGCCGUGAAGUGUGACUCGAAUCGAGGCGAUUUCAGUUCGGUUUGGCUGGAGUUUGAAAUGAAAGGUGCGAGUAUGACAGCUACCAUAAUGCCAUUAGGCGCAGCAGGAAUUUGACUGGAGGAGCGCCGCAGGACUUCACACCGAAAGAAGGAAAACUCAUUAAAUUGGAACUAAGACAAAGGGGGAAGACUGUUGGAUAUAUUGGAAAUACGAAAACCGUUUUCAGGCAUCGAAGGAAACCCUCAAAAGUGAAGUCAGUCGAGACAAUGCAAUGCACUGCAUGAUAUGUUGCAAGGAGAGCGAGCAAAACUGUGGCAGUCCUUUCAAUGUUUUUCCUUAUUUUUCCAAAGCAUCUGUGUGUGUGUGUGUGUUUGUGUGUGGCUGUGUGUUUGUGUGUGGCUGUGUGUUUCUGUUUUCGAGAGAACAACGACAGCUGUUACUUGUGGUGAAUUUUCUUGGCCACUUUGCAGACUUCAAAACUCACCACUUUCUCUCUCAGCUCUUUGGGGUUUUCGCUCUCAUUUUCCUCACUGGGUCAUUCGGGGGAAAUUUUCUCGCACUCUCUCUCUCUAUCUCUGUCCCUAACUUUCUUCCUCUCCCAUUUCUCUUGGUGCGUGGGUGACACAUUUUUUGGAACUCCAAUUUGUGUGCCUUUUUUUUUGUUUUGUUUUUUGAUGGCUUAAACUAAAAUAAAUUUUAAUUAAUUGAUGGCUAAUCAUUAGCGGACUUCGUUUUGUUAUAUUUUUAGAAGCUUUUUAGGUAAAUAAAAAUAAAAUUAAAGCCGACGCUUCUUCUCCAUGUUUUUUCGCAGUUUUCCUUUGCCAUUCUUCGGUGUUUUUUUCCUAUAUUCCUUGGUUUUUGGGGGCUUUUCCCUGUGACUUACUUUCCGCUAAACAAUUUUUCGGUGUCAAUGUCGGCAUUUUUGUUGUUUUUCCUCUGGCAUUUUCUUCCCCCCUUCAGAUUGCGCACAUGUUUUCGAAAUUCUUUCAUAUUUAUUGGCAAUUUCAUCUGUUGCAAGUUUUUGUUUUCAUAUCGUUCUCUUUUAUGUGGGAGCUAUCUUAACGUCCAGGUCAUUAAGGCCUUGUUUGGGUUCGGGUUUGUUUUUAUUGGUGAAAACACUUUAUAUGGCUUGGAUGUUAAAGGUAACGCAGUUUCGUUGCUGAUGACCAAAGAUAUGGCUGUUAGCUUUAUGGGUGACAUGAUGAUGUUGAGGUAGGCAAGAUGAGAUUGGUUUGGUGAAAAAAAAAUGCAACUG
Long non-coding RNA from Drosophila eugracilis, 1861 nucleotides. RefSeq lists it as uncharacterized. NCBI's taxonomy places the organism in Eukaryota, Metazoa, Arthropoda, Insecta, Diptera, Drosophilidae. The record is from RefSeq and is a predicted model, not a curated record. The transcript has 3 exons.